RNAcentral lists this ribosomal RNA (429 nucleotides) under Gemmatimonadota bacterium. Its description in RNAcentral is "Gemmatimonadetes bacterium partial 16S ribosomal RNA". It matches the Rfam family "Bacterial small subunit ribosomal RNA", at positions 355 to 776 of the family's 1533-position model. The record is from RNAcentral. Lineage: Bacteria; Pseudomonadati; Gemmatimonadota.
UAGGGAAUCUUCGGCAAUGGACGAAAGUCUGACCGAGCAACGCCGCGUGGGUGAAGAAGGUUUCCGGAUCGUAAAACUCUGUUGUUAGAGAAGAACAAGGACGUUAGUAACUGAACGUCCCCUGACGGUAUCUAACCAGAAAGCCACGGCUACCUACGUGCCAGCAGCCGCGGUAAUACGUAGGUGGCAAGCGUUGGCCGGAUUUAUUGGGCGUAAAGCGAGCGCAGGCGGUUUCUUAAGUCUGAUGUGAAAGCCCCCGGCUCAACCGGGGAGGGUCAUUGAAAACGGAGAGAGUUGAGUAGAGAAGAGGAGAGUGGAAUUCCAUGUGUAGCGGUGAAAUGCUUAGAUAUAUGGAGAAACACCAGUGGCGAGGGCGGCGCUCUGGUCUGUAACGGACGCUGAGGAUCGAAAGCGUGGGGAGCAAACAGG